This 283-nucleotide transfer RNA is filed under the name Bradyrhizobium sp. TUTAHSA144. RNAcentral describes it as "partial 16S-23S ribosomal RNA intergenic spacer". The stretch from base 144 to 217 matches the Rfam family "tRNA". The record is from RNAcentral. Lineage: Bacteria; Pseudomonadati; Pseudomonadota; Alphaproteobacteria; Hyphomicrobiales; Nitrobacteraceae.
UUGAGCGGCAUUGGCGGGAUUUCGCCGUCUUCGUUUCUCUUUCUUCGCGGACGAACACGCGCCGGGGCUGCGCUGUGCGAUUGCAUCUGCGCUGGUCGCCGAUGCAUGCACGCAAGACCCUAGUCCUGAAAAGGAUAGCGUUAGGGCUUGUAGCUCAGUUGGUUAGAGCGCGCGCUUGAUAAGCGUGAGGUCGGAAGUUCAAGUCUUCCCAGGCCCACCACUUUCAUCGAGUGAGCAUUCGUCUUCUGGUUACGGGGCCAUAGCUCAGCUGGGAGAGCGCGUG